Molecule: long non-coding RNA, 851 nt
Organism: Lynx canadensis (Canada lynx)
Lineage: Eukaryota; Metazoa; Chordata; Mammalia; Carnivora; Felidae
Exons: 2
Source: RefSeq, a predicted model, not a curated record
GCCUACAACCAGAACCUCCGUGCGGCUCAGAGGUCAACAGGGAAGCCUCCGGGCUAUCCGAGAGAAUGCACACAGAGGGGAAUCCGUUCUUCCAGCCCCGCCCCAGGCAUGGGCCUUAACAUUCCUACAAGUGAUUGGGCAUUACAAGAACCAGCACGGCUCCUGGAUGUUAAGUUCUGCAUUUCAGUUACUAUUGGGGGUUAAAGGUCAUCAGGAAAUCCGCUAAAGCAAGGCCUGAAAAUCACCCAAAUUCCGACAGCAGCUCCGUGGAGGGCCUACCACACGGGGCGUACUGAGAAGCUCACUGAACUCCAAAUAGCUGCUGUUAAGUGUCCCCUUCAAAGGUCGCCUCCCUGGAGAGGCCUUCCCUGAACUCCCUGGCCGAAGGGCCACAGGCAUCCAUAUUACUGAGCUCGUCGAAUGUGGCCCUCUCUCAAGCGUUCUUGUUUAUUUCUUCAUCUACCUGUGGACCCACAUCUGCCUUCCGUCCUUCACCCCCAUUAGGUUGGCGCUGGGAUGACCCGGUUUCACAGACGGGGAAAUCGAGGCGCGGAGAGGCACCUACUGUGUGCCGGGCCUCAGGGACCUCACGCCGACCCCGAGACCGGAACUGCGAUCCCCUAGUUCCAGGGAAGGCUGAGGCCGAAGAGUCUGAGCUUGAUCGUCCCGCUCGGGAGCCAGGCUCGGGCCUCGAACCCGGGGCCACCCCGCGGACCCGCGCCCCCCGGCCCCACCCGCCCGCCCGUGCCUACCUGAUCCGCGGCCGGGCCGGGCGGCCGCGCAGGCCCCUUCGCUAGCCCCGGCCCUGGUCCCGGCCCGGCCGGUCCCCUCAGCGCCGCUAGCUUCGCUCG